This is a transfer RNA of Caenorhabditis elegans, 72 nucleotides long. The record is from Ensembl. Lineage: Eukaryota; Metazoa; Nematoda; Chromadorea; Rhabditida; Rhabditidae.
GGCCGGAUGGUCUAGUGGUAUGAUUCUCGCUUAGGGUGCGAGAGGUCCCGGGAUCGAUCCCCGGUUCGGCCC